UACGUAGGGGGCGAGCGUUGUCCGGAUUUAUUGGGCGUAAAGAGCGUGUAGGCGGCAGCGUGUGUCGGGCGUGAAAUCCCACGGCUCAACCGUGGAAGUGCACUCGAAACUGCGCAGCUAGAGUCCUGGAGAGGAAGGUGGAAUGCUUGGUGUAGAGGUGAAAUUCGUAGAUAUCAAGCGGAACACCGGUGGCGAAGGCGGCCUUCUGGACAGUGACUGACGCUGAGACGCGAAAGCGUGGGGAGCAAACAGG
RNAcentral lists this ribosomal RNA (253 nucleotides) under uncultured bacterium. RNAcentral's name for it is "partial 16S ribosomal RNA". It matches the Rfam family "Bacterial small subunit ribosomal RNA", at positions 524 to 776 of the family's 1533-position model. The record is from RNAcentral.